Molecule: ribosomal RNA, 599 nt
Filed under: Centroptiloides bifasciata
Lineage: Eukaryota; Metazoa; Arthropoda; Insecta; Ephemeroptera; Baetidae
Description: SSU rRNA
Rfam family: Eukaryotic small subunit ribosomal RNA
Source: RNAcentral
AGUAGUCAUAUGCUUGUCUCAAAGAUUAAGCCAUGCAUGUCUCAGUGCAAGCCACAUUAAGGUGAAACCGCGAAUGGCUCAUUAAAUCAGUUAUGGUUCCUUGGAUCCUACAAAUCCUACUUGGAUAACUGUGGUAAUUCUAGAGCUAAUACAUGCACCCAGAGCUCCGUCCAGAAAUGGCCGGGGCGCAGUUGUUAGAUCAAAACCAAUCGGUCGGGCUCGCCCGUCCGUAGUUUUGGUGACUCUGAAUAACCACCGCUGAUCGCACGGCCUCGCGCCGGCGACGUAUCCUUCGAAUGUCUGCCUUAUCAACUGUCGAUGGUAGGUUCUGCGCCUACCAUGGUUGUAACGGGUAACGGGGAAUCAGGGUUCGAUUCCGGAGAGGGAGCCUGAGAAACGGCUACCACAUCCAAGGAAGGCAGCAGGCGCGCAAAUUACCCACUCCCGGCACGGGGAGGUAGUGACGAAAAAUAACGAUACGGGACUCAUCCGAGGCCCCGUAAUCGGAAUGAGAACACUUUAAAUCUUUUAACGAGUACCUAAUGGAGGGCAAGUCUGGUGCCAGCAGCCGCGGUAAUUCCAGCUCCAUUGGCGUAUAU